UCUGUCUCCUGAUGCUGGGAUUAAAGGCAUGCACACCCAAGGGAAAGAGGGAUGGAACUCUAUUUUACUGGGGAUGGGACGCAGUGCUGAUAAUCCUGUGUAUAUAUGUCUCCAGAUCCCAAGCAGCCAGAGGAAAAGAAAAAGAGAAGGAUGGAACUACAGACUCUGGGAUCAAGUUAGAACCUGUACCAGGACUGCCUGGAGGUCAGUUCAUGUCAGAGACUCAUUCAGCUGGGGUUUCUGUUAGACGAUAGCAGGCGUGCCUCUGUGGCCUGUGUGGCAGGCCAAGAUGUCUGUGCUAGAGACAUCUGCACGUGGUACUGAUUGUCCUCCCUUGUCUCCAGCUCUGCCUCCACCUCCUGCCGCAGAAGAG
RNAcentral lists this long non-coding RNA (373 nucleotides) under Rattus norvegicus (Norway rat). RNAcentral's name for it is "long non-coding RNA NONRATT013475". The record is from RNAcentral. Lineage: Eukaryota; Metazoa; Chordata; Mammalia; Rodentia; Muridae.